AGAGUUUGAUCCUGGCUCAGGACGAACGCUGGCGGCGCGCCUAACACAUGCAAGUCGAACGAGCGAGAGGGAGUUUACUUUCUCGAGCGAGUGGCGAACGGGUGAGUAACGCGUGAGGAACCUGCCUCAAAGAGGGGGACAACAGUUGGAAACGACUGCUAAUACCGCAUAAGCCCACGACCCGGCAUCGGGUAGAGGGAAAAGGAGCAAUCCGCUUUGAGAUGGCCUCGCGUCCGAUUAGCUAGUUGGUGAGGUAACGGCCCACCAAGGCGACGAUCGGUAGCCGGACUGAGAGGUUGAACGGCCACAUUGGGACUGAGACACGGCCCAGACUCCUACGGGAGGCAGCAGUGGGGAAUAUUGCACAAUGGGGGAAACCCUGAUGCAGCGACGCCGCGUGGAGGAAGAAGGUCUUCGGAUUGUAAACUCCUGUUGUUGAGGAAGAUAAUGACGGUACUCAACAAGGAAGUGACGGCUAACUACGUGCCAGCAGCCGCGGUAAAACGUAGGUCACAGCGUGUCCGGAAUUACUGGGUGUAAAGGGAGCGCAGGCGGGAAGACAAGUUGGAAGCGAAAUCCAUGGGCUCAACCCAUGAACUGCUUUCAAAACUGUUUUUCUUGAGUAGUGCAGAGGUAGGCGGAAUUCCCGGUGUAGCGGUGGAAUGCGUAGAUAUCGGGAGGAACACCAGUGGCGAAGGCGGCCUACUGGGCACCAACUGACGCUGAGGCUCGAAAGUGUGGGUAGCAAACAGGAUUAGAUACCCUGGUAGUCACACUGUAAACGAUGAUUACUAGGUGUUGGAGGAUUGACCCCUUCAGUGCCGCAGUUAACACAAUAAGUAAUCCACCUGGGGAGUACGACCGCAAGGUUGAAACUCAAAGGAAUUGACGGGGGCCCGCACAAGCAGUGGAGUAUGUGGUUUAAUUCGACGCAACGCGAAGAACCUUACCAAGUCUUGACAUCCUGCGACGCACAUAGAAAUAUGUGUUUCCUUCGGGACGCAGAGACAGGUGGUGCAUGGUUGUCGUCAGCUCGUGUCGUGAGAUGUUGGGUUAAGUCCCGCAACGAGCGCAACCCUUAUGGUCAGUUACUACGCAAGAGGACUCUGGCCAGACUGCCGUUGACAAAACGGAGGAAGGUGGGGAUGACGUCAAAUCAUCAUGCCCUUUAUGACUUGGGCUACACACGUACUACAAUGGCGUUAAACAAAGAGAAGCAAGACCGCGAGGUGGAGCAAAACUCAGAAACAACGUCCCAGUUCGGACUGCAGGCUGCAACUCGCCUGCACGAAGUCGGAAUUGCUAGUAAUCGCAGAUCAGCAUGCUGCGGUGAAUACGUUCCCGGGCCUUGCACACACCGCCCGUC
This 1366-nucleotide ribosomal RNA is filed under the name uncultured bacterium. RNAcentral describes it as "bacterial SSU rRNA". It matches the Rfam family "Bacterial small subunit ribosomal RNA". The record is from RNAcentral.